GGGGCUGAUUCUGGAUUCGACGGGAUUUGCGAAACCCAAGGUGCAUGCCGAGGGGCGGUUGGCCUCGUAAAAAGCCGCAAAAAAUAGUCGCAAACGACGAAAACUACGCUUUAGCAGCUUAAUAACCUGCUUAGAGCCCUCUCUCCCUAGCCUCCGCUCUUAGGACGGGGAUCAAGAGAGGUCAAACCCAAAAGAGAUCGCGUGGAAGCCCUGCCUGGGGUUGAAGCGUUAAAACUUAAUCAGGCUAGUUUGUUAGUGGCGUGUCCGUCCGCCGCUGGCAAGCGAAUGUAAAGACUGACUAAGCAUGUAGUACCGAGGAUGUAGGAAUUUCGGACGCGGGUUCAACUCCCGCCAGCUCCACCA
RNAcentral lists this transfer-messenger RNA (363 nucleotides) under Escherichia coli. It matches the Rfam family "transfer-messenger RNA". From Rfam's summary of the family: Bacterial tmRNA, also known as 10Sa RNA or SsrA, is named for its dual tRNA and mRNA-like properties. The record is from RNAcentral. Lineage: Bacteria; Pseudomonadati; Pseudomonadota; Gammaproteobacteria; Enterobacterales; Enterobacteriaceae.